This 173-nucleotide ribosomal RNA is filed under the name uncultured bacterium. Its description in RNAcentral is "partial 16S ribosomal RNA". It matches the Rfam family "Bacterial small subunit ribosomal RNA", at positions 334 to 524 of the family's 1533-position model. The record is from RNAcentral.
UACUCCUAGGGAGGCAGCAGUGAGGAAUAUUGCCCAAUGGACGAAAGUCUGAGGCAGCAACGCCGCGUGGGCGAUGAAGGCCUUCGGGUUGUAAAGCCCUUUUCUGGGGGACGAGUGAGGACGGUACCUCAGGAAUAAGUCACGGCUAACUACGUGCCAGCAGCCGCGGUAAU